This 301-nucleotide ribosomal RNA is filed under the name uncultured bacterium. RNAcentral's name for it is "partial 16S ribosomal RNA". It matches the Rfam family "Bacterial small subunit ribosomal RNA", at positions 509 to 809 of the family's 1533-position model. The record is from RNAcentral.
CAGUCGCCACGGGAAUACGUAGGGUGCGAGCGUUAAUCGGAAUUACUGGGCGUAAAGCGUGCGCAGGCGGUUGUGUAAGACAGGUGUGGAAUCCCCGGGCUUAACCUGGGAACUGCGCUUGUGACUGCACAGCUAGAGUAUGGCAGAGGGGGGUGGAAUUCCACGUGUAGCAGUGAAAUGCGUAGAGAUGUGGAGGAACACCGAUGGUGAAGGCAGCCCCCUGGGCCAAUACUGACGCUCAUGCACGAAAGCGUGGGGAGCAAACAGGAUUAGAUACCCCCGUAGUCCCUGUCUCUUAUAA